Molecule: microRNA precursor, 81 nt
Filed under: Trypanosoma congolense IL3000
Lineage: Eukaryota; Euglenozoa; Kinetoplastea; Trypanosomatida; Trypanosomatidae
Source: RNAcentral
AACAAUGAAAUGUCACUCACCUCGAUUUGGGAAAAGUGGGAAAAUUUCCCAAAUCGAGGUGAGUGACAUUUCAUUGUAAUU